Daphnia magna is the source of this 670-nucleotide long non-coding RNA. RefSeq lists it as uncharacterized. The transcript is spliced from 2 exons. The record is from RefSeq and is a predicted model, not a curated record. Lineage: Eukaryota; Metazoa; Arthropoda; Branchiopoda; Diplostraca; Daphniidae.
GAUACACGAUCUUUCAACAUUCUUAGUUUACAUAAGUAUGGAAAUGCGUGUUUGUUGCGUAAACGUUUUGACGAAUGAACCGAGAACCGGCCGGCAGCAUCUGAUCGUAAAUUCAAAAGCGAGUCAAGUCAACAUCUUGCGCGUUAGCUUUCCAUUAUUAUGCCGAGAGGAGCUAGGAAGAAGCAUCUGUUGUGGUCUGUUGCCUUUUGCUGGCCGUAUGAGAGCAACUCGUUCAUAACACUAAGACCGCCCAACAACAAGAACAAGACGCUUGAUUGUAAGAAUAUAGGUCGGCUAGACAACGCCAGAUGGUCGUGAUGAGAUUGGCCAACAUAAUUUCUUCACAAUGUAUCCGACAACAGAUAAAUGCUACAGGCACACUUUUUCUACUACUCUCACGGCUGUCCCCACUUAAACCAUUGGCUCAAUCAAAUGCGCCAUCCAUCUUCAUAUACACUAGAGAGAGAAAUCUAACCGGCUUCUGAUUCGCUGGUACCUGUUCCAUCUCACGCCUGAUUUCGCUUUAAAUUUUUUUUUCCCAGUUCACGUCGCGUUUACUCUCAUACAGCUAAACAAGGUGGGGAGGACUCAAAAGGAAAUUUUGAUAACCGAGACCCUAUGGAACAUAACGUGGGAAAACGAUUUAAUAAAUGAAAAGUAAUAACUGCUA